AUGAAUCUCCUAACUCGGUGGCCCAUGAGGUUCCAAUGGUUAGUUUUGGAUUUUUUCAGGCAAGAAAGCAAAGAAGAAGGGAGGAUUCUCUAUUACCAACUUCCCCCAUUGUCCUGUCCUCAUUGGUCAUUCAUCUUUCCCGAUCUAGUGCCAUCGUUCUUCAAGGUGCCAGAGGGUUUGAAGCAUACCUACUACCCCUCCCCUAAGCUUAGUUCAGAGUUGCCUCAGCGCGCUCGAGUAAUAACUGGGAAAAUCAAGGUUGGACAGGUCUUCGAGCCAACUUCAGGAAGAAAUGCAAGUGAAAGAGAAUGCUCUCGAGGGCGCAGGAGUCUUUUCUUUCUUAUUUGA
RNAcentral lists this ribosomal RNA (348 nucleotides) under Triticum aestivum (bread wheat). Its description in RNAcentral is "partial small subunit ribosomal RNA". Lineage: Eukaryota; Viridiplantae; Streptophyta; Magnoliopsida; Poales; Poaceae. The record is from RNAcentral.